Molecule: ribosomal RNA, 301 nt
Filed under: uncultured bacterium
Lineage: Bacteria
Description: partial 16S ribosomal RNA
Rfam family: Bacterial small subunit ribosomal RNA
Source: RNAcentral
CAGUAGCCGCGGGAAUACGAAGGGGGCUAGCGUUGUUCGGAAUUACUGGGCGUAAAGCGCACGUAGGCGGACAUUUAAGUCAGGGGUGAAAUCCCGGGGCUCAACCCCGGAACUGCCUUUGAUACUGGGUGUCUUGAGUGUGGAAGAGGUCAGUGGAAUUGCGAGUGUAGAGGUGAAAUUCGUAGAUAUUCGCAGGAACACCAGUGGCGAAGGCGGCUGACUGGUCCACAACUGACGCUGAGGUGCGAAAGCGUGGGGAGCAAACAGGAUUAGAUACCCCCGUAGUCCCUGUCUCUUAUAC